This 231-nucleotide ribosomal RNA is filed under the name uncultured Enterobacterales bacterium. RNAcentral's name for it is "partial 16S ribosomal RNA". It matches the Rfam family "Bacterial small subunit ribosomal RNA", at positions 99 to 334 of the family's 1533-position model. Lineage: Bacteria; Pseudomonadati; Pseudomonadota; Gammaproteobacteria; Enterobacterales. The record is from RNAcentral.
CGGACGGGUGAGUAAUGUCUGGGAAACUGCCUGAUGGAGGGGGAUAACUACUUGAAACGGUAGCUAAUACCGCAUAACGUCGCAAGACCAAAGAGGGGACCUUCGGGCCUCUUGCCAUCAGAUGUGCCCAGAUGGGAUUAGCUAGUAGGUGGGGUAACGGCUCACCUAGGCGACGAUCCCUAGCUGGUCUGAGAGGAUGACCAGCCACACUGGAACUGAGACACGGUCCAG